GUUCAAAACAACAGGUACUCUGCUAACUCGUAAGAGGAUGUAUAGAGACUGACGCCUGCCCGGUGUUGGUAGGUUAAGGAAGAGGGUUAGUCGCAAGACGAAGCUCGCAACCGAAGCCCCAAUAAACGGCGGCCGUAACUAUGACGGUCCUAAGGUAGCGAAGUUCCUUGUCGGGUAAGUUCCGACCUGCAUGAAUGGCGUAAUGACUGGAGCACUGUCUCAACCACCAACCCGGUGAAAUUGUAGUCGUGGUGAAGAUGCCACGUUCCCGCAGUUAGACGGAAAGACCCCAUGAACCUUUACUGUAGGCAGGUAUUGGGCUGAGGUACGUUUUGUGUAGGAUAGGUGGGAGGCUAUGAUCCGUUAGCGCCAGCUAACGGGGAGCCAACGUUGAAAUACCACCCUGAAUGUGCUUUAGUUCUAACGUCGUCCCGUGAAUCCGGGCGACGGACAGUUCCUGUUGGGCGGUUUGACUGGGGCGGUCUCCUCCAAAAGAGUAACGGAGGACGUGCAAAGGUACCCUCAGCCCGGUCGGCAAUCGGGCGUCGAGCGCAAUGGUAGAAGGGUGCGUCGACGCGGCCG
Molecule: ribosomal RNA, 582 nt
Filed under: uncultured Pirellula sp.
Lineage: Bacteria; Pseudomonadati; Planctomycetota; Planctomycetia; Pirellulales; Pirellulaceae
Description: bacterial LSU rRNA
Rfam family: Bacterial large subunit ribosomal RNA
Source: RNAcentral